RNAcentral lists this long non-coding RNA (534 nucleotides) under Numida meleagris (helmeted guineafowl). RNAcentral's name for it is "lncRNA (ENSNMEG00000001274.1)". The record is from RNAcentral. Lineage: Eukaryota; Metazoa; Chordata; Aves; Galliformes; Numididae.
AUGGCGGCGAGCAGCGGCAGCACGGGCUCCACAGGCCCAGCGGGGCCGGUAUCGUUCGGCUUCAGCCGAAAAGCGGAGCGGAGGCGGCUGCUGGCGGCCGGGCCUUGCUCCGAACCGGAGAGCGACGGUGCGGACACCGAUUACCUCACAGCGGUGGAGGACCGCGAGUUACUGAGUGCCAAGCCGGCCCCGCCCCCUCCGAAGGACCUCGUGAUCCCCCUUCGCCCCUCCCACCGCUGGAGGAACCCGGAAGCGCCAAGCUCCGCCCCCUCUUCGCCGAACCACGCCCCCUCCGCCUCAAACCACGCCCCCGAUGCCACAGGCCACGCCCCCGAGGGGGACCCCGUCGCCUUGGAAACAGCAGCAGUGGAGGAGCUGCUGCGGGAGGCGCGGCAGAGCCGGGAGCAGGGCCAGGAGACCCCCAGUGCCGCCCCCAUCCCCAUGAGGAUGAAGGAGGAGAACGUGGGCAGCGGCGCUCUGCCCGUGAGUGGGGGGCACGGAACCCCCAACACCCCCCCCAAGACCCCCAGAACC